This is a long non-coding RNA of Ceratitis capitata (Mediterranean fruit fly), 531 nucleotides long. RefSeq lists it as uncharacterized. The record is from RefSeq and is a predicted model, not a curated record. The transcript has 3 exons. NCBI's taxonomy places the organism in Eukaryota, Metazoa, Arthropoda, Insecta, Diptera, Tephritidae.
UACAUUUACACUUUUAACAAACACAUAUUUUACAUACACUCAUUCAAAAUUACUUCAGACAUUUCCACCUGCUUUCAGCCACUCACUAACCGAGUACUAUUUGUCGUUUCAAGCAUUUACGUCUCGCCAGCUGUGUCAGGUCACACGCUGCGUCUAGUCAGCGCGUGUCCUUGCGUCGCGUCGUAUUGUCGUUGAAUAUUAUUGGCACACUUUUAUUUAAGCGAGCGAAUAUUUGAGCGAAUUCAAGCUUCCAACAAAAUCCCACACCUCGCGUACACCAGCAAACACACCUGUAGUCAAUAGGCGGUCAUGAGUUUGGGGCAUAAAUCUUCUGUGGAUAAUAAUAUAAAGUCAUAGCUAUCUAAAUGAAACUUUCUUCCGGGUCAUCCUCUUGUAACAUUUAUGCAGUGCAAGUUGCAGUAAGAGCAUGUCAAAAGCAGUGGCAGCAGCCGCAUCUCAAUUUCGGCGACACCAGCGUCGCAUCGCUGGACAAUAAAGAUGGGCAGUGGUCCGACUGGUCGUAGUGGUCAA